CACGUCAGCGCGCUUUACUGACGUGGCAACAAAUCGCCCCCUUGCGAUUUGUUGCCACGUCAGCAAAACGCGCUGACGUGG
Gossypium hirsutum (cotton) is the source of this 81-nucleotide non-coding RNA. NCBI's taxonomy places the organism in Eukaryota, Viridiplantae, Streptophyta, Magnoliopsida, Malvales, Malvaceae. The record is from Rfam.